This 362-nucleotide transfer RNA is filed under the name uncultured Microcystis sp. RNAcentral describes it as "partial 16S-23S ribosomal RNA intergenic spacer". The stretch from base 136 to 209 matches the Rfam family "tRNA". Lineage: Bacteria; Bacillati; Cyanobacteriota; Cyanophyceae; Chroococcales; Microcystaceae. The record is from RNAcentral.
AAAGGGAGACCUAAUUCAGGUAGGAGACGAAAAAAAAGUAGUCCCUACCAGGAAUCAAUCCCAAAAGGUCGGAGCGAGGCGAAAUUGGCUUUCAAACUAGGUUCUGGGUUCAAACAAGACCUGAAUCAGGAACAAGGGCUAUUAGCUCAGGUGGUUAGAGCGCACCCCUGAUAAGGGUGAGGUCCCUGGUUCGAGUCCAGGAUGGCCCACCUGCACAGGUGGCAAAAACAAGAGAAGCGAGGAAUCAGCACCUUAUCUUAUAUACAUAUAUAAGAGAGAAUGCUGGCUCUGAGUACAGAGUCCAGAGGAACCUUGAAAACUGCAUAGAGCUAGGUGAAAAAGCCAAAAAAGAAGACCGCAAG